CCUACGGGAGGCAGCAGUGGGGAAUAUUGGGCAAUGGGCGCAAGCCUGACCCAGCAACGCCGCGUGAAGGAAGAAGGCUUUCGGGUUGUAAACUUCUUUUCUCAGGGACGAAGAAAGUGACGGUACCUGAGGAAUAAGCCACGGCUAACUACGUGCCAGCAGCCGCGGUAAUACGUAGGUGGCAAGCGUUAUCCGGAUUUACUGGGUGUAAAGGGCGGGUAGGCGGGAAAGCAAGUCAGAGGUGAAAACCACGGGCUCAACCUGUGGCCUGCAUUUGAAACUGUUGGUCUGGAGUUUCGGAGAGGCAGGCGGAAUGCCUAGUGUAGCGGUGAAAUGCGUAGAUAUUAGGAGGAACACCAGUGGCGAAGGCGGCCUGCUGGACGACAACUGACGGUGAGGCGCGAAAGCGUGGGGAGCAAACAGGAUUAGAUACCCGGGUAGUC
Molecule: ribosomal RNA, 443 nt
Filed under: uncultured bacterium
Lineage: Bacteria
Description: partial 16S ribosomal RNA
Rfam family: Bacterial small subunit ribosomal RNA
Source: RNAcentral